GCCCUCGUGGACUAAUGGAUAUGUACUCGGUCUCCUAAACCGGAAAUUGUGGGUUCGAAUCCCGCAGAGAGUA
Trichonephila clavata is the source of this 73-nucleotide non-coding RNA. The record is from the annotation of a GenBank genome assembly. NCBI's taxonomy places the organism in Eukaryota, Metazoa, Arthropoda, Arachnida, Araneae, Nephilidae.